Long non-coding RNA from Varroa destructor (honeybee mite), 1906 nucleotides. NCBI's taxonomy places the organism in Eukaryota, Metazoa, Arthropoda, Arachnida, Mesostigmata, Varroidae. The record is from RefSeq and is a predicted model, not a curated record.
AAGACGUCGACGGGGACGACUACGAAUGAUGUUAGUUCCUAACAACAAUGUUAGCGGUCAUAAUUAUAGUAGCAGUAGUAGUAGUAGCAACUCGUUGCUUUGAUACCGUCCGUCAAUUGCGUGUUGGGGACAGUGGCGUUGAUGUGCCAACCAGCGCCACUUCGACAACAACACCGUAACACAACAAGCUUGACCCUAACCAAAAGUCAUCGCUGCUGCUAUAGCCAUCGUUACCGAAGCAGCUACAAUUGCCACUGACGAAGCUGAUUCAUUGCUAUCUUUGCCGCUACCGCCGGCGGUUCAAGUAUCCCCUCAAUGACGACCUCCGUGUUGUCUCAGUGUUGGCCAGCCGAUAUUGUCGCUUUAGAUGUAUCAAUUGUGUUAUCCUUAUGAAUAUUAUUAUUACUAUUGCGAUUAUCCGUAGCGCAUAUACGGAUAGGCAAGUCGAAUUUUAAGCUGCUCUUCUACGACAGCCAUAGAAACAACUGCUAUCACUGCCGAUACGAAGAUUUUUACCCCCAAAACAACACUACGGGAACACGACUUUGUCGGCUUUGCGACGCCAAACGCUUCGAUACGAUUCAACUAUGGCGUACAACAGUUUGCAUGUACGUCGAAUGCUGUUAAUAUAGUACCGACGAAGUACCACGUGGACAGUGGCUCGACAAUAACCAUUUCAACAGUGGCUUGACUUAAAACGAAGACCCGUAACAGCUUCCUAGAAGAAGAAACGUGUGGGUUGAGACGAUCCUGUCUGACCGGGCAAAUCUGGGCAAAACAGUGAUAUAACAACGAACAGACGAAUAAACAUGGACGGUAAACUUUCCAGCUGUGCUCUACAGCGGAUAUGACUACUAGUCAUUAAAGACAGGGACAUUACUCGACCGCGGUUGAGGAUGAACACACAAAACGUAUCGAUCAGACUGCUAAACUAGAUCAGUACUGGCUACGAUUAGGUCCAAUCGAAGACUGCUCGGAAGAAGGAAGCCAAUAAACAGAAAUAUGGGUUUUGUCAUUGGACACACCACUCAGCAUGUUAAGCACGGGUUGAGCGGACGUAAACGUACAGGUGGAAGCGGCGUUGUUUCGUGUUGCAAAUGUUUCCCAUUUACGAACGGAAAGGUCUCUACAAAGAGUAGUCUUUGUUGAGGUUACAGAGCGUCGAGUUUACGUACCUUGAUAACAAUUUGCCCCCUCCCCCCUCCCGAGGAUCGACAUCCUUGGGCAAUAAGCCGACUGACCUUGUGGCCACCGGAUAGAGCCAAGUACAAAGCAUACCUUCGGCAUUUAUAAGUCGCCGGAGAAAGCAUAAUACCAUUCGCUAUCUGCGAAAAAAACGUCUGAAGACACUGACAGAUCGAUUCAGACCAUGCACACUGGGUAACCAAGCAGGCUUGCCUCAGCCAUGGCGCGCUGAACAAACCACCUGUUCAUACGGAAAGUAUAAACAAGCAAUAAGUUUGGGUUAUUAUUUCCCACAGGUAUGCGUAUAGGAUAUUAUAUAAAAAAUGGCAAGUAUUGACGUAAACGAUUAAAACGUCUAACAAUGCACACCGUUUUCUGGCUAGCGAGCUUGUUAAAUCUAACUUCAAAAUACCCUACCUGUUAGACCAUCUGAUUAUUAUUAGAAAAUUGGAUGGACGUCUGUCUGCGGUGCAAUUCUUUUAGAUAUCCUACUAUUCACCUCAGUAGGAUUUUAUCUGUAUCGGCUUUUUCACAGCCUGCCAUUUCGUGGACCUAUUCUAUUUACAGCAUGGCAGGCCAAUGUAAUUAGAGAGGCUUCGUAAGGAAGGCUUUCGGAAUGAGAUAAUGAAAAAUUGAAUAUAUAAAUAUUUCAAAUCGAUGAAGCUUUAGUAUGACUUGUGCUAAUACUACGUCAACGAUCUUCUCGAAGAGUUGUACCAUG